AGAAAAGAGCGCCGAACCCUUACGGCAACCUUCCACUCGCCGUAACUUCUCCGUCCGAGCUCCGAUUGCCGCAGCGUUUAUGGCCACGCGUCCAUCGCAUUGAGCUCUACACUUCUACCGGAACAAUUUCAUUGGAUCCAAUUAGCUUGAGGAAAACGUUCACUCUUGCUUAUGUGAAGCUUGGGUAAGGUUGUGAAUAAAUAAUUGGAGCUUGAAAUUGUGAAUAUUGGAACUUGGAGGAAGCUGAGCCUAGAGUUUAUUGAGUUUUGAGGGGCUGCCUUGGUUUU
Arachis ipaensis is the source of this 287-nucleotide non-coding RNA. The record is from RefSeq and is a predicted model, not a curated record. NCBI's taxonomy places the organism in Eukaryota, Viridiplantae, Streptophyta, Magnoliopsida, Fabales, Fabaceae.